RNAcentral lists this ribosomal RNA (470 nucleotides) under uncultured bacterium. RNAcentral's name for it is "SSU rRNA". It matches the Rfam family "Bacterial small subunit ribosomal RNA", at positions 26 to 518 of the family's 1533-position model. The record is from RNAcentral.
AGAGCGAACGCUGGCGGCAGGCCUAAUACAUGCAAGUCGAACGGAUCCUUCGGGAUUAGUGGCGGACGGGUGAGUAACACGUGGGAACGUGCCCUUUGGUUCGGAACAACUCAGGGAAACUUGAGCUAAUACCGGAUGUGCCCUUCGGGGGAAAGAUUUAUCGCCAUUGGAGCGGCCCGCGUCUGAUUAGCUAGUUGGUGAGGUAAAGGCUCACCAAGGCUUCGAUCAGUAGCUGGUCUGAGAGGAUGAUCAGCCACACUGGGACUGAGACACGGCCCAGACUCCUACGGGAGGCAGCAGUGGGGAAUAUUGGACAAUGGGGGAAACCCUGAUCCAGCGACGCCGCGUGUGUGAAGAAGGCCUGCGGGUUGUAAAGCACUUUUAGUGGGGACAAAAAGCUACGGAUUAAUACUCUGUGGUCUUGAUUUAACCCAAAGAAAAGCACCGGCUAACUCUGUGCCAGCAGCCGC